This 438-nucleotide ribosomal RNA is filed under the name Triticum aestivum (bread wheat). Its description in RNAcentral is "partial small subunit ribosomal RNA". Lineage: Eukaryota; Viridiplantae; Streptophyta; Magnoliopsida; Poales; Poaceae. The record is from RNAcentral.
AUGUUGGUCGGGCUUAUUGACCUUUCCAAGAAGUUGGAGGUUGGCCAGACUAAGUUCACGGAGGAAUCCGAGCGAGAUGAGCAUGUUGUUGCUGAAGUAGGACUUAAGAUUAAGUCUGGCCAUGAGGUUUCCAAGGCCAUAAUUGAGGACUUAUCUGCCGUAGAAAAGAAGUGCACUGAAAUGGAGGCACGUGAAGAAGAGUUGAAGGCCCAGUUUGAAGAGGUUACUGCUACUUUGCACAUGCUUAAGUUGGAAAUGGAACAACGCCGACAAGCACAUGAUGCCCAUCAAUCUGAACAGGAGAAGUUGGUGAAGAGUGUACAGGAUACCAAUGCUGGCAAACGUGCAAGGCUUGCUGAAUUUAAACAAAAGACAGCAGAUUUAAAGACUGAAGCAAGUCAGUUGUUGAACAGCCUGCAGAACUGGCGAGCUCUUUGA